This 274-nucleotide ribosomal RNA is filed under the name uncultured bacterium. Its description in RNAcentral is "partial 16S ribosomal RNA". It matches the Rfam family "Bacterial small subunit ribosomal RNA", at positions 523 to 796 of the family's 1533-position model. The record is from RNAcentral.
AUACGGAGGGGACUAGCGUUGUUCGGAAUUACUGGGCGUAAAGAGUUCGUAGGCUGACUGAUAAGUAAGAGGUGAAAUCCCAGGGCUCAACCCUGGAACUGCCUUUUAAACUGUCAGUCUAGAGACCGGAAGAGGUUAGGGGAAUACCUAGUGUAGAGGUGAAAUUCGUAGAUAUUAGGUGGAACACCAGUGGCGAAGGCGCCUAACUGGUCCGGUACUGACGCUGAGGAACGAAAGCGUGGGGAGCAAACAGGAUUAGAAACCCUUGUAGUCC